Molecule: non-coding RNA, 72 nt
Organism: Parelaphostrongylus tenuis
Lineage: Eukaryota; Metazoa; Nematoda; Chromadorea; Rhabditida; Metastrongylidae
Source: the annotation of a GenBank genome assembly
GCCUCGGUGGUGUGGUGUAGAGCACACGUCCCGUGAUAGGAUGCAAAGCGGGUUCGAUUCCCGUCUGAGGCC